Molecule: long non-coding RNA, 387 nt
Organism: Clupea harengus (Atlantic herring)
Lineage: Eukaryota; Metazoa; Chordata; Actinopteri; Clupeiformes; Clupeidae
Source: Ensembl
AUCAGGUGAGGUAUUUAUACUGAUCAGGUGAGGUAUUUAUUCUGUGAUCAGGUGAGGUAUUUAUUCUGAUCAGGUGAGGCCAUUUUGUUGUCAUAGAAAGCAACAGCAGAUGGCGCUAACUGACUGACCGAGGCUGACAGUUAUCUAAAAAAUUAAAGUCUAUUUAGCUAACGUUACAUAAAGGAGUUCACUAUUUUGCUAUCCCGACUGUCAGAAAAAACGAAGGGAAAGCUACCAAGGAGUCACUGUAGGAGAGAGCUAUGGCUGCUCAGAAUUAACAGACUGACCUUCCAGCCCACUCCUCACAGCAAAGUCUGUUCUGACCAUUUCGCGACAGAUAAACAGGAACGUAAAUUACCUUAAGGUUUCAAAUGUUUGUUAGGUUGU